AAGUCGUAACAAGGUUUCCGUAGGUGAACCUGCGGAAGGAUUAUUAACACAUUUUCUUUCAAAUAUAAACAUUGAGAACUAAGAGCCAUCAGUGGGAGUGUCGGCAGGCAAUGGUCGGAUCCCUCCAUGGGAUGGUCUGCCGGAUAGUAAAUCCAUAAGAGUGCCGCGCUGGUCGUGGUGCGAUGAAGAUGAGGUUCGAUCUCUACGCUGGUGGUAUCACGGUCUCUGACCUGGCUGGCCCUUUUUUUUAAAAUUGAAAUACGUCUGAUGUGGCUUCAGAUCGAGAAGGCCUCCGGGUCUUUUCUUUGAGGCCAAAAGCGAUGGAGGAAUCCAUUGUUUUUCAAAUCAAACACAACUCUUAACAGCGGAUAUCUCGGUUCUC
This 382-nucleotide unclassified non-coding RNA is filed under the name fungal sp. RNAcentral's name for it is "partial internal transcribed spacer region". The stretch from base 1 to 46 matches the Rfam family "Eukaryotic small subunit ribosomal RNA", at positions 1786 to 1831 of the family's 1831-position model. The record is from RNAcentral. Lineage: Eukaryota; Fungi.